GAUGAACGCUGGCGGCGUGCCUAAUACAUGCAAGUCGAGCGAACGGACGAGAAGCUUGCUUCUCUGAUGUUAGCGGCGGACGGGUGAGUAACACGUGGAUAACCUACCUAUAAUUCUGGGAUGACUUCGGGAAACCGGUUCUAAUACCGGAUAAUAUUUUGAACCGCAUGGUUCAAAAGUGAAAGACGGUCUUGCUGUCACUUAUAGAUGGAUCCGCGCUGCAUUAGCUAGUUGGUAAGGUAACGGCUUACCAAGGCAACGAUGCAUAGCCGACCUGAGAGGAUGAUCGGCCACACUGGAACUGAGACACGGUCCAGACUCCUACGGGAGGCAGCAGUAGGGAAUAUUCCGCAAUGGGCGAAAGCCUGACGGAGCAAUGCCGCGUGAGUGAUGAAGGUCUUCGGAUCGUAAAACUCUGUUAUUAGGGAAGAACAUAUGUGUAAGUAACUGUGGACAUCUUGACGGUACCUAAUCAGAAAGCAACGGCUAACUACGUG
This 497-nucleotide ribosomal RNA is filed under the name uncultured bacterium. RNAcentral describes it as "partial 16S ribosomal RNA". It matches the Rfam family "Bacterial small subunit ribosomal RNA", at positions 28 to 507 of the family's 1533-position model. The record is from RNAcentral.